This 292-nucleotide ribosomal RNA is filed under the name uncultured bacterium. RNAcentral's name for it is "partial 16S ribosomal RNA". The record is from RNAcentral.
GGACUACUCGGGUUUCUAAUCCUGUUUGCUCCCCACGCUUUCGUGCAACAGCGUCAGUAUUCACCCAGAUAGCCGCCUUCGCCACCGGUGUUCCUCUUAAUAUCUACGAAUUUCACCUCUACACUAAGAAUUCCGCUAUCCCCUAUGAUACUCUAGCCUUGCAGUAUCAAAAGCAAUUCUGAGGUUAAGCCCCAGGCUUUCACUUCUGACUGACAAAGCCGCCUACGCACGCUUUACGCCCAAUAAUUCCGAGUAACGCUAGCUCCCUUCGUAUUACCGCGGCGGCUGGCAC